UCCGGCUUGUCACCGGCAGUCCCUCUAGAGUGCCCAACUAAAUGAUGGCAACUAAAGGCGAGGGUUGCGCUCGUUGCGGGACUUAACCCAACAUCUCACGACACGAGCUGACGACAGCCAUGCACCACCUGUCAUGGGCCCUUUCGGACACCGUAUCUCUACGGCUUUUCCCAUGAUGUCAAACCCAGGUAAGGUUCUUCGCGUUGCCUCGAAUUAAACCACACGCUCCGCUGCUUGUGCGGGCCCCCGCCUAUUCCUUUGAGUUUUAACCUUGCGGCCGUAGUCCCCAGGCGGUGAACUUAAUGCGUUAGCUGCGGCACUGAUCGGGUCAAUCCGACCAACACCUAGUUCACAACGUUUACCGUCGGGACUAC
RNAcentral lists this unclassified non-coding RNA (374 nucleotides) under uncultured Chloroflexota bacterium. RNAcentral's name for it is "uncultured Chloroflexi bacterium contains 16S-23S intergenic spacer region". Lineage: Bacteria; Bacillati; Chloroflexota. The record is from RNAcentral.